Molecule: unclassified non-coding RNA, 343 nt
Filed under: soil metagenome
Description: partial contains 5.8S ribosomal RNA, internal transcribed spacer 2, and large subunit ribosomal RNA
Rfam family: 5.8S ribosomal RNA (bases 1-119)
Source: RNAcentral
GAUGAAGAACGCAGCGAAAUGCGAUACGUAAUGUGAAUUGCAAAUUCAGUGAAUCAUCGAGUCUUUGAACGCACAUUGCGCCCCCUGGUAUUCCGGGGGGCAUGCCUGUCCGAGCGUCAUUGCUGCCCUCAAGCACGGCUUGUGUGUUGGGCCCCGUCCUCCGAUCCCGGGGGACGGGCCCGAAAGGCAGCGGCGGCACCGCGUCCGGUCCUCGAGCGUAUGGGGCUUUGUCACCCGCUCUGUAGGCCCGGCCGGCGCUUGCCGAUCAACCCAAAUUUUUAUCCAGGUUGACCUCGGAUCAGGUAGGGAUACCCGCUGAACUUAAGCAUAUCUAAGCGGAGGA